This 630-nucleotide ribosomal RNA is filed under the name Triticum aestivum (bread wheat). RNAcentral's name for it is "partial small subunit ribosomal RNA". The record is from RNAcentral. Lineage: Eukaryota; Viridiplantae; Streptophyta; Magnoliopsida; Poales; Poaceae.
AUGAUCGUUACUUUGUGGGCUAUCUGGAGUACACGGCGGAAAGCUAUACAUGAAGAGAUCUUGCAGACUCCAUUUGCCACUGACAACUUCAUCAAAUCUUACUUGUUAGACAUAGAGUUCUUGAAGAAGAAGGAGAACACACAGGUGAUAGCAGUACCGCGACCAAGUGGGUGGGUUCCGCCACCCACAGACAUUGCUGUGUCCCGCUCGGGCAUGUUUGGCGCAGUUGGUGUGGUUUGCAGGGAUGCGAGGGGUUUGUUCAUGGGAGCUUCGGCCCUCGUUCUCAGGGGAUUCCGCAACCCCCAGGUGCUAGAAGCACUAGCUGUACGGGAUGCAUUGGCACUUUCAGAAGAUCUCUACAUCAACCAAAUAUUGGUGGCCUCGGAUUGUAAGGUGGUGGUAGAUGCGAUCAAGCAAGGAAGCUCAGCAGACUUCGGUGCCAUUGUCCAAGAGAUCAAGGCUAGAGCAACUACCUUUAUUUCAUGUUCGUUUAGUCAUGAGUAUAGGACCUCCAACACGGAGGUCCAUAAUCUCGCAAAGCAUGCUUUAUCUUUAGGGUUUGGUCGUCACACCUGGCUAGGCCAGCCCGGCGUUCUUCUCUUUGUACCUAUGAACAUUUCGAUUCAGUAA